UACAGAGGGGGCAAGCGUUGUUCGGAAUUACUGGGCGUAAAGGGCGCGUAGGCGGCCAACUAAGUCGGACGUGAAAUCCCAAGGCUCAACCUUGGAACUGCGUCCGAUACUGGAUGGCUUGAAUCCGGGAGAGGGAUGUGGAAUUCCAGGUGUAGCGGUGAAAUGCGUAGAUAUCUGGAGGAACACCGGUGGCGAAGGCGGCAUCCUGGACCGGUAUUGACGCUGAUGCGCGAAAGCCAGGGGAGCAAACGGA
RNAcentral lists this ribosomal RNA (253 nucleotides) under uncultured Acidobacteriota bacterium. Its description in RNAcentral is "uncultured Acidobacteria bacterium partial 16S ribosomal RNA". It matches the Rfam family "Bacterial small subunit ribosomal RNA", at positions 524 to 776 of the family's 1533-position model. Lineage: Bacteria; Pseudomonadati; Acidobacteriota. The record is from RNAcentral.